UAGCCUGAGAAAUAGCUACCACUUCUACGGAGGGCAGCAGGCGCGCAAAUUGCCCAAUGCCAAAACAAAUGAUGAGGCAGCGAAAAGAAAUAGGUGCCCCAAACGCCUUGUGUGUUUGGGGCUUUCAAUGGGGGAUAUUUAGAACCAUCCAACAUCGAGUAACAAUUGGAGGACAAGUCUGGUGCCAGCACCCGCGGUAAUUCCAGCUCCAAGAGCAUAUAUUAACGCUGUUGCUGUUAAAGGGUUCGA
RNAcentral lists this ribosomal RNA (249 nucleotides) under Bodo sp. RNAcentral's name for it is "partial small subunit ribosomal RNA". It matches the Rfam family "Eukaryotic small subunit ribosomal RNA", at positions 392 to 631 of the family's 1831-position model. Lineage: Eukaryota; Euglenozoa; Kinetoplastea; Eubodonida; Bodonidae. The record is from RNAcentral.